GAAUGCUAACAAAGUUGGAUGGUACGGUACGUUGGAAAAUGAAGAUCGGUUAAAUUAGGAAGGGAAAUUAUUUGGAAGCUAAUGAACCUACCGGGAACUACUAUAUCUUGAAGGAAAGAGUUUUUAUUAUUAAAUUAGUAGAUAUAGACGUGACAAAAACCCGUAUAACAAACAAAUUUAUCUCAUGAUGAAAAAGGGGAAGAUGAUUAAAAAAAUAGCAAACGAUUUUGAGAAUAACAGGUAGACGAUCGAUCGUCAAAAUUCAUCAAAGAAUUUCUAUGAUAUAUUGAUGGAAAAAAAUUAAUAACCAACUCAUGAUAAAAAGGGGAAGAUGAUUGAAAAAAUAGCAAACAAGUUUGUGAAUAAUAGGGUAGAUGAUUUUCAAAAUUCAGCAAAUAAAAGGAUGGAUAGGCAAAUUUGGCAAAUAAGUUUCC
RNAcentral lists this long non-coding RNA (434 nucleotides) under Setaria viridis. RNAcentral describes it as "long non-coding RNA (SVIR_LNC000210)". The record is from RNAcentral. Lineage: Eukaryota; Viridiplantae; Streptophyta; Magnoliopsida; Poales; Poaceae.